AAACUCAAAUGAAUUGACGGGACCGCACAAGCGGUGGAUGAUGUGGUUAAUUCGAUGCAACGCGAAAACCUUACCCACCUUGACAUGUACGGAACCCUUUAGAGAUAGAGGGGUGCUCGAAAGAGAGCCGUAACACAGGUGCUGCAUGGCUGUCGUCAGCUCGUGUCGUGAGAUGUUGGGUUAAGUCCCGCAACGAGCGCAACCCUUGUCAUUAGUUGCUACAUUCAGUUGGGCACUCUAAUGAGACUGCCGGUGACAAGCCGGAGGAAGGUGGGGAUGACGUCAAGUCCUCAUGGCCCUUAUAGGUGGGGCUACACACGUCAUACAAUGGCUGGUACAAAGGGUUGCCAACCCGCGAGGGGGAGCCAAUCCCAUAAAGCCAGUCGUAGUCCGGAUCGUAGUCUGCAACUCGACUACGUGAAGUCGGAAUCGCUAGUAAUCGUGGAUCAGAAUGUCACGGUGAAUACGUUCCCGGGUCUU
RNAcentral lists this ribosomal RNA (480 nucleotides) under uncultured Rhodoferax sp. Its description in RNAcentral is "bacterial SSU rRNA". It matches the Rfam family "Bacterial small subunit ribosomal RNA", at positions 897 to 1382 of the family's 1533-position model. Lineage: Bacteria; Pseudomonadati; Pseudomonadota; Betaproteobacteria; Burkholderiales; Comamonadaceae. The record is from RNAcentral.